UUCAUUCUUAUUUCAAAUAUUGUAUUGAAUGCCUGUGGUGCUUAAUCUAAAUUUUGCCUCAGGGAUGAGGCUAGGGUCAUGGAUACAAAGAUGAAUGAGAUGAAUCCCAUGCCAUGGAUGCAAAGGUAAGACUGAGCCCGUACCCUCAGUGAGCUCAGUCACAUGGGGGAGCCAGACAUGCAAGCCAGGAGCUGCCAGGAUCAGGGCUAAGGGUAGGGUAAUCCUAUCACUGAUCAUCCCAACCGGGACACUUUUGAUAGUGUAAGGGUACGAUUAUUAGUUACGCCAGAACAACAGAUAAAGCAGGACUGUCUGGAACAAACCAGGACGUAUGGUCACCCUAGCUGGCGGAAAACCCACAGUGUGAAGGGAGGGCCCUGGGUGACUAGAGGAGGUGAUGCCCUAGCUAGACCUAGAAAAGUGUGAGACAUGCUCUUGUCUCCAGUCAUCACCUGCUAGUUAAGGCUUUCAAGAUACCUGAUUAAGUUGUGAUACUUCUUCCUUAAACCAGUAUUGUGCAUAUUAAAUUAAAAUCUGCAUGGUAGAGCUUAGAGCAGUAGAGUUACACAGAUGACGCUUCAUUUUACAGAGAACUAGACAGGACAGCUUGCUCAGGAUCGCACCACUCGGUGGUGGCAGAGGCCGGGGAGAACCAAAGUGUCCCAACAGUGCUGUGCUCUGUCCUACCACACAGACGAAACUGAGGAUGGAAAGCCUGAAAGAAUCAUUUCUUGGCAGAAGGAUUGUAUAGCAUUCCGAAAUGGAAAACUCAAGAUUAGUUACAUGAAAAUAUUUUUCUUCCAAAAGAUUUGUUGCUACUUUUCCAGUUCCAUUUAACACACAUCAUGCCAAGCAUUAUUCCAAGUGUUUGGGCUACAAAGAUAAGUCAUUGGCCCUGAUGGCAAGUUGUUAGGCUGCUGAUUCUUCAAGGCCCAGCUCAAGUGUCUGUCGCCAGUGCAUCCCCAUCACCUAUGCCCAGUUGCUUCUCACCACCUUUGCUGUUACCACCUCAGUUCAAACCACUAUCACCUCUCACUUCGUCUUUUUCUCCAAGUCUGUUUUCCAUGGAACAGGCAGAGUUAUCAUGAACCUCCUUUUCUCAGACCCUUCCAGUGGUCUUAGGCCAGAAUCCAAACUCCGACCAUGACCCUAAGGCCCUACGCAAUCUAGUCCGUGCCUACCCCUGGCCACAUCUCCUAGUCUGAUUCUUGUUCACUCUGCCCAGCUACUACGGUCUUUUUUGUUUCUCCCACUCACCAGGCACAUUCAGAGAAGCUUGUUCAUGACCUUUACACUUGCUGUGCCAUGACAGCUGUUAGCCCAAUUAGUUCCUAGCUCAUUUUUCACAUCAUUCAGAUCUUUGCUUAAACAUUAUCUCCAAAGAGCAGCUUUGUCUGAUGAUGCUUUUGAAACUAGCUUAUCUUUUCUAAAAAUAAGUUGACUUCCUGCACUAGUAUAUAAGUUCUACAAGGGCCGGGACCUUGUAAUGUUUGCUGUGGUUGUAUCCCAUUGCCUUUAAUAGUGCCUGGCAGGUAGCUGGUGCUCCAUAUUUGUUGAAUGAAUGGACAAAUGAUGUGUUCCAGGACGAAUGGGAAAUUCAGAGUGGCUGGAAGAUUGAGGGAAGGGGAAGGCAACUGGAGAUAAAGAUGUAAAGGCAGUUAGGGGCCAAUCCAUGAAAACCCUUGAAAUUCCCACUCAGGAGUUGGCCAUCACCCUCUGGUCAGGGGAAUCUUCCAAGAAAUGCUGAACCUCAACCCCUUGUCUGUGUGAACUGGCCAUAGGAAUAGAGCCUUUCAAAUGUGAGGUGUGUGCUGAAGUCUGGCCUGCAGUUUCUGGGCAUGUUUAGAAAAUGAGAGAACAUGGUUGAACUAAAAAAGCAAACCCCACAUUGGUCACUGUUAAUCAUAAUUAGUAAUGUCUGUGAUUUGUAUAAUCUUUCUUCCAAAGUGUUCCAGGUCUUGAGACGUGUUCCCUUUGGUCCCCCCAGGCCCUGCCACAAUAACAACCUUGGCAUGUGACUCACCACCCUCCCCUGCCAUAUAAUACCCUUCUAUUUAUCACCUGUCUUACCCCUUCCUUUCCAUGUCAAGUAAUUUCUGUCUUGUUUUUUUCUUCUCUUCCUUCCCUUCUCAAACCACAGCCCAUAUAAUUUUCAUUGCCCUCUUUAGAACCUUCUUGUGUCUCAGCUCCAGCCUUUUUAUAGGGAAGCGGAGCAGACCUGAAACAGUGUGGAGAGGGAGAUGUACAUUGUUAAUUUACCUCCAUUUCAUAGUGGCGUUUUCCUCUGGACUGCAGUUCCUUUUCCAGCUUUGCAGUCCCCCUGGAAGAUAGAUGACUAAACACAAAGGUGGUUGCUGGUGCUUUAAAGUCAUUGGUAAUCUCAGUGCUCAUUUGAGGUUAGCGUCGCUACCCAUAGCAUGAGAUUUGUCAGUGUGCUUAAAUAAUAGAAUUAAAGUAUUGAUUUCUGCUGUGCUUCAUGUAAUGCUGCUUAUACUUAGGGAGGAAUUUAAUAUUUAUUGAGUGCCUCCUGUAUGCCAGGCACUGUGUGAGAUGCUUUAUGCAUAUAUUCUCAUUUAAGACUCAUAUUUUGAUGAGGUUGAUAUAUUAUCCCCAUGAGAGAACUGAAUUUCAAAGAAAUUAUUUGCCCGCAGUCACACAGUCCACGUCUGUCUAAAGCCAGAGCCUGUGUCCUUGCAUACACUGCACAGCCAGACCCAACCCUGCCACAGCACUUGAAAGUGCAUAAAGGGUCUUCACAGGCAUUGUCAUUUCAGUCUUCAUAACAACCUGUAGGGUUGGCAGGGUCGUCCCCAACUGACCUGUGAAAAUGCACCAUCACGGGGACCUCCUGCAGCCCUAUUGCUCUCUGGUUUGGAGUCUGGGACUUGGGCAGGGUCCUGUGCUCGUCACUGUGCUGGAUGCAGGAUUCGAAUCCAGCUCUAGAAGAGUUAGAUCAUUGGUGGGCAAUGCUGGAGGGGCCAGACCACAACCCCCGUGACAUCAUGAGAGCAGGGAUGUGGGUGCUCGUUCUCUGAGGGAGGCCUGGAAGAGCUGCUGUCCUUUUCCUGCUUGUGAGAGUGGAUGCAGGCCUGCCCAGGAGCUGGAAGCAUCGGAGUGAGAGAAGGUUGGACAAGCCAGCAGUAAGGAACAGGGGAAAGAGCAGAGGUUUGGUGUGAGGAGACCCAGUCUGAAGGCUGCUACUUGGGAGUUGUGGGGCCUUAGGCAAACCACUUCACCACUCUGAGCACAGAUACCACGGCGUUUAUUGUACAGUCAUGGUCAAACCUCACCACAGCAUGGAAUAAUACUUUCUCCAAGGGAAAGUCUCUGCUAACCUGACUGCUAACCAGCUGGUUAUGGUUAACUAUCCCAGAACAAGUUUGAGUACUGAUAUGAAGGACCUGGAGACUCACUUCUCUUCCCUGCCCUUGAGAGAGAGGCUAGGCAAGUUGCUGCCCCUCUCUGGGCCUCAGUCUUCUCAUCUGUAAAGCAAGGAUGCUAGUAUCACCCAUGAUUAAGGAGAAAGUGUUUAGUCAGCUAUAUGUUCUAUCAUGUCCCUGAAAUGCUCUGAAAGAAAAAAAGUCUGUAGAUGAAAUUAGAAAGGGUGAGCUUCAUGCCAAAGGGCCUGGAAAGACUUCUCAGAGGAGUGUGGUAUGAGCUAGGUUACAAAGGCUGGAUAGGGGUCAGCAGGGAAGGAGGCAGGGCUUUGGUGGAACGGCUGGCGUAGAGGACCAGGCAACAUCCCAGUACAGGAAGGGCUACUGCUCUGUCUUUCCUUCCCGUCUGACUCCAUCAGCAUCUCCCACAUUCACAGCUCCUGCCCUCAAUUUCUCAAUUCUAAGAGGCUAUUAGUUAUGAGACACAAUUUUAAUUAAAUAGCAGCUUUGGGGAGAAUAAAAAAUUUUCUAUGUAAACAAAUAUUGGUUUUAGUUUCAUCUCAAUUUCCAAACUAUUAAAUUGUGGGGAGAAAAUGUAUCUUAGAAUUGAGAAGAUACAGAAGAUGUCACUUUAGAAUGAAUACUACCAGAAAAGUUUGUCAUGUGGACCUUGAGACUGAUGUUCGUGUUCUUCUUCUGCGACAUACCAGCUUUGUUAUUCUGGGCAAGUUGCUUGAUUUUCCUAAGCAUCAAUUCAUGUUUUAAAUGGUCUAUAAAUUGCCUGGGCAUAGGAGGUGAGCAGUUAAGGUUGUUUGAAUCUGAAUGUUGAUUCAUUUUGGAAAGAGGUCUACAGAACAUAUUUUGUCUGAAAUCAGAGGUUGCUAUAUUAAAAAAAAAAAACUAUACAUAUUAUCAUUUUAGAAUAGCAUAACAGAGCAGUAGUUUUCAACCAGAGGCGAUUUUACCCCCCAAGUGACAUUUGGCAAUGUUGGGAGGCAUUUUUGGUUGUCAUCACUAUGGUGGUAGUGAUGGUGGGGAAGCUACUGGCGUGUAGUGUGUAGAGCCUAGAGAUGCUGCUAAACAUCCUACAUCGCACAGAAUAGGCCCCCAGAACAAAGGAUUUUCUGGCCCCAAAUGUCCAUAGCACAAGGCUGAGAAACCCUGACAUAGAGAUUAAGAAUGGGGAUUAUGGAGCCCGCCUAUCUGGAUUUGAACCCUAGCUCUGCCACCUGCUAGAGCUGUGUAUCCUUGGGCCAGUUACUUGUCCUCUGUCAUCUGGGAAAGAAUAGUAAGUUUCUGCCACAGAGGGUGCUUGUGAGGGUUACCGGGACUUAAUGUUGGUAGAGCAUUUCGAAUGGAGACUGGCUUCCAUGAGGCACCUAGCGAGUAUCCGCUUUUAUUUUAAGUAAUUGAAUAAACGCUAGAGUUUGUGAAAAUACCUUGCCUGGUACCAGGACCUCAGAUAAGUUACUUAACUCCUUGUGCCUCAGUUUCUCCAUCUGUUAAAAAAUGUUGUGGAGGUCAGAUGAAAUUAAGGAUAUGACAGCACGAUGGAAUCUGGAAAAUCUUACAAAUACACUUGUAUCAUUAUUAUUGCCUCAGACUCCAGUAAGAGAAUGUUCUGGGGCUGAAGUAAUAAACUCUCCUGGGCCAGGCUGUAACUCAGCAGAAGGGACAGCCAGAGAGAGGAGGUGCUCAGAGCAGAAUAUUGCAGGCCCAGCAGUGGAUUGCAUCUUAAGUACAUCCUCAGCUGUGAAUCCCGGAAGUUGCCUUUAUUGCACUGUUAUGUGCAAGCUGCGCCCCAGCUUUACAUACCACUUUCCCCAGAGGAGUACUUGGCAAAUCGGCAUACAUGCCUGCUCUGCAGGCUCUAAACUUAGGGAAAAACAACAGCUCAGAUGGAAAGAGUGCCCUGAAAGCCCCUGGCCAGGGAUCUGUUCCUGUUCCUCCUCUGUCUUCUCUGGUCCCAGUUUUUUCAGCUCUCAGAUGAAGGGACUGGAUUGCUGGCCUGGACUCCAAGGCUUGUUGGAGCCCUGGCUCUACCCACACAGGAUUGAGUCAGGAUUAUUAUUAUCUUUAACAAUUAUAUCUGUAAACAGUAAUCUAGCAGGAACUGUGUCAAGCAAUUUACAUAAAUAAACUGAUAUAAUUCUCAGAACAACCUUGUGAAACAUUGACCUUAUUGCUGAUGCUAUCACUGAGCCUCAGAGACGUUAAGCAACUUGCCUGAGAACGCAUAGAGCCAGAUCCACAUCACUCUUGACCAAUACCCUGCAGUAUCACAAGGCAGAAUGUGCAGAGAGCCUGGCGAACACUAGGCACUUAAUAUUUGUUCAUUGUGUUGAAUGAAUGAAUGCCCAAGGGCAAAUCACAAAGUAGCUUGUCCCUCAUCCAGCUCUGUCCAUCCCUGCCUCUCACAACCUCAUCCCUUCUUGCCUGGGCUACCAGUGCCCGCUCUCUCUUGCCGAGAGCUUGGCACCCUCUCGGCAGCAAGUAAAACUGUUCUUUAAGGGACCUUCAGUGACAACUGAAGAGAUUAGCCUUUUCCACUACUCCGUCUGGUGAGCCUGCUCUGUGCCAAGCACUGAGGGGGGCUUGGGGACCUAGAGGUGAGUCAUCCCCAGCACCUGAUCUGAGGGGAAUCUACAUCUGCGGAAGGUGGGUGGGGGUGAGAGGGGAGACUGACGAGAAAACCAGCUGGUCACAAGCCGAAUGAUCAAAGCAGCCCUUGAAGGGAAAGGCUCAGGGAAGCCUUCCCUGGGGCUGAGGCUGCUUUUGAAAUUUGCCUACCUGUACUUGGCACAGACUGGGCCACAGCUGCCUUCUCCCAUCCGUCCCAAUUUAUCCUUCAUUCAGUGUCCUGACACCACACAAUGGAAAACGAAGAAGCAGUCUCCAGCAGCUCAGAAUCCACACUGGGGAAAAAGGGAGAGAGAAACUGCUGCAAAAACCCUACUAUGUGCCAGAUACUUUCAUCUACUUUGUUUAACUUAAUAUUCAUAAGUAGUCAACGAGGUAGACAUGCUCAUUGUGGAGUGAGGGGAAAAUAGGGUUCAAAGAGGUUAAGCAGUUUGCUGAAGGUUCCAGAGGAAAUUGCUUAUGAGGAAGCUUGCUUAAAGAUAAGCAGGUGAAUUGGCCUCUCCAUUUUGGAUCCCUGUGCCGGUCUACUCUCAUAGGGCCCCCUAGAGGCACAGUGUUGGGGUGUCUAGCAGGCUGCAGAGUCGGGUGGGGAGUGAGGAAAGCUCAGUUUCUACAGACCCCCACAGGUUCUCUGUUCAAAACAACUCAGGGGAUGCCCACCUCCUAGGGAGUGCCCAUGCAGACAAGGGCAGGAACACAUAAUGUGGCAAGACAUCCCCAGAUCCACAUCCAAAGGUGGGCAUUUUUCUUGGUGGGGCUUUGGAUAGGGAUGAGGGCCCAGAGGAGAGGCUUGGGAGAGAGGGACCUCUCCCCUCUUCCUGGGACUGCCCAAGAACAGGCCAACAAGCUGCUUUGGGGCAAUCAGUCAGAUCUACAGAGCUGAAGUUCUGCCGGCGCCAUCCAUGAUGAACAGAUUUGUGGACACAGGUAUAACAAGCUACUGCAUCCCCACUCAUUAACCCAAUCACAGUCACCCACAGCAAUCUAACCCUCCACCCAUCCAGCCCUCUGUCCCUUUCUCCUCCCUCCCUCAGGCAUUCCUCUAUUGCACUCAGUGAUUUCUUUCUUUCUUUCAGCAAGGGUCUGGGACACUUGUCAGGCAUCUCUAGGAUUUUGCCAGGAUCCAAGAAGUCUUCGUCAUGGUGCAGAAAGCAUGAGACCCAAGCCUCGACAGAUGAGCUGGAACUUUGGCAGGAAGAAGUGGGUUAAAACAAAGAGCAGUCCAGAUGGAGGGGAUGGUGUGAGCAAAGGCAGAGAAGCUGUAAAAUCUGUGAGAAGUGUUUUACUUCUUUCCAAUUGGAUAAAAAAAUAUGAACAAAGGUAUUUUUCCUAUCACUUUAUAAAAUGUUAAGGGAAUUAGCAUUCUGGCUUGUGUAUGUUUUCUCCAUUUGUCAUUUGUCUGACUUUAUGAUUUUUUUUCAUGUUGAAAUGCUUACUCAUCAGUGACGUGAAGGUGGGUUUGGAUGCUGACAACAAAGGGAGUGGAGGUCCUGGGCCAGGCAGGCUGUUCUUGUUUUUGAGCCCCUACCUUCUUCUAGGCCCUGGGAAUCCAGUGGUGAAGGAGAUAGGCAGAGGUUCUGCCAUGGCGGCAGUGAUGGGCAGUAGGGCAGUGUUCAGCGAGAAUGUCACAGGGGCACCUCCGCAGCUGGACCUGAUGAAUGAGGAGGGACUACCCAGGGUCCAAGCUGCAGGGGGAGAGUUCUGAGCAGUGACUCAUAACAAGCCUAAACCUCAGAGAGAUGGAGGUUUCAGAGUCAGGUUUCUGGAGCCCAAGCUGUCCUUGGGUGGUGAUGAGGCACCUGGCACAGCCAUUCCUGGGUUGGGGUGGGGGGGGCAAGGAUAGAGUCUAAGGGGUCUCCUCGAGUCCCUGAGUGGACAGAAAGCUGCUCCACUAGGCCCUGCUCUGGGCAGGGAUUUCCUCUCUCUGUACAAGGGAAGAAAGAGACUCUCGGGCCUGAAGCCAUCCAGCCAGUGGAGACUUCAACUGAGGUCUGAGUGGUUAGGACUGGCCAGGGUGGCGAUGAAGUGUGUUGUUCUAAGAGCAGCAGAGGAUGGGGACACAGUGCUGACCUCUCCUGGAGUGACGGCCUCUUCCUGCCUCUCCACAGCCCUGGCCCUGUGAACACCUCUCCAGAGAAUCAAAGACCAGGUGGCAGCCUGGGAGGGGAGGAGGGGCCCUGAAGGGAGAUGUGACUGGAGGGCAGGCUGAGACCAGACCCUCGAGCCUUGAAUGCCAGGCUCAGGCAGUUAGCGAUUGUUGGAGGUGAUGGGGCCCAGGGAGCCUGGGAACUGCUCUGCUCCCCUGCCUGGAGCCCUGCCCCAGGGCUCCUUGCAGGUGAUGACAGGAUGAGGCGGGGAGCUGUGGGGAGAGCCAAGAGCUCACAAAGGUUCUGCUGUGCUUGGCCAGGGCCUCCACCAGGGCCGGCUUGCUUGCUUGCUUGCUUGGAGGGAAGGAUAUGAUUUAGAAAGGUGAUUGCCGGGGGCUCAGGGCCAGGCCUGCUGGCUGCCAGCCAAGCACAGCACCCUUACUCCAAGCUCCGCAUCUUGGGGCCUCCUCAUUUCCCUUUACUUUGGUGCUCCUUAUUAGACCCAAGUAGGAUUCCACAGCCUUGAACUGAGGACUUACUAAACACAAGGAGCAAGUGCUUACCUGAGGACCUGGGAGGCGGGGGUGUGCAGGGCGUGGGGGAAGGGUAGGAGUACAGCACUGGCCCAGUGGGCACUUCAUGGAGAAAGAAAUGCAUGAAGGCUGCCCUUCACUGAGCACCAUAUGCCAAACACUGGGUGUUUAUAGUGUUCAUAUUUAAUCCUCUCAACUACCCAGCAAGGUAGUUAUUAAUAUCUCCAUUUUACAGAUGAGAAAAGAGAGUCCUAGAAAGGCUACGUGACUUGCCAGGGUCACAUAGUGAGUCAGUGGUAGGGCCAGAAUUCUAACUCAGGUCGGCCCUGCCUGCCUGUGAAUCUAAUUUCCGCUUAACCCCUACCCUGCUUUGUGCAAGAAAUGAUCCUGUGUCUCACAUGUGUCUGGCAAAGAGUAAGGGGGGGUGUCCCAUAAAUGUUGACUUUAUCAUGCACUCUCUCUGCUAGAGCUUGUGAACCUCACAGCAACCCUUCAGGAUCAGUAAUGUUUCUCUCAAUUUAAUGAUGCAAGCUCAGAGAAGCUGAGCAACUUCCUCAAGGUCACACAGCUUACAGCAGAAGAUGGGAACUUGGGGGAAAUUCAAAAGAAGGGGGUGUAGAGUGGAGCAAGCUAGCCCAAGGAAUGACAGGGAAUUUUCAAGAAGCUCAGGGUGCCCACUGAAGACUGAGAGUGUCCCUGGAAGCUAUAGAUUUGAGGGUGGAGUAGUGGGGUUGUUCAUUCAGCCCUGACCCUCGAUGGGCUCUUACCCAUCAGAAGAGCAGCACUCAAAGAGCUGGGCUCAGGGCAACUGCCUGGCCCCAUGUAUUCCCUGUGUGACCUUUAACAAGAAAGGACCUUCAUCAGGACUAUUUCCUUUUUGUCAGAUGAGCACAGCUGGACUAGGUCUUUGAUUCUCUCUCUUUUUUUUUUUUUUGCGGUACGCGGGCC
Non-coding RNA from Delphinapterus leucas (beluga whale), 9585 nucleotides. NCBI's taxonomy places the organism in Eukaryota, Metazoa, Chordata, Mammalia, Artiodactyla, Monodontidae. The record is from RefSeq and is a predicted model, not a curated record.